RNAcentral lists this transfer RNA (72 nucleotides) under Salmo salar (Atlantic salmon). It matches the Rfam family "tRNA". Rfam says of the family: Transfer RNA (tRNA) molecules are approximately 80 nucleotides in length. Their secondary structure includes four short double-helical elements and three loops (D, anti-codon, and T loops). Further hydrogen bonds mediate the characteristic L-shaped molecular structure. tRNAs have two regions of fundamental functional importance: the anti-codon, which is responsible for specific mRNA codon recognition, and the 3' end, to which the tRNAs corresponding amino acid is attached (by aminoacyl-tRNA synthetases). tRNAs cope with the degeneracy of the genetic code in two manners: having more than one tRNA (with a specific anti-codon) for a particular amino acid; and 'wobble' base-pairing, i.e. permitting non-standard base-pairing at the 3rd anti-codon position. Lineage: Eukaryota; Metazoa; Chordata; Actinopteri; Salmoniformes; Salmonidae. The record is from Rfam by way of RNAcentral.
UCCCGUGUGGCUCAGUUGGUAGAGCAUGGUGUUUGCAACGCCAGGGUUGUGGGUUCGAUUCCCACAAGGGAC